This 167-nucleotide non-coding RNA is filed under the name Palpitomonas bilix. The record is from RNAcentral.
UUCUUAUCUCUUUUGCUAUCUUCUUUCAUCUAGUGUGGUAGGAAGUGGAUGAAUGAAGAGUGGCGAAUGAAGCAUGACGAAUUGAAACGUCCACCUUUUUUCUUUCACUUUCUUUGUUUUCAUUGUUCUCCAUUGUGAAUUGAACAUGCGCAAAAAUAAUUAAAGAG